Molecule: ribosomal RNA, 471 nt
Filed under: uncultured Nitrosospira sp.
Lineage: Bacteria; Pseudomonadati; Pseudomonadota; Betaproteobacteria; Nitrosomonadales; Nitrosomonadaceae
Description: bacterial SSU rRNA
Rfam family: Bacterial small subunit ribosomal RNA
Source: RNAcentral
ACGGGGGGAGGAAAGUAGGGGAUCGCAAGACCUUGCGCUGAUUGAGCGGCCGAUAUCAGAUUAGCUUGUUGGUGAGGUAAAAGCUCACCAAGGCGACGAUCUGUAGCGGGUCUGAGAGGAUGAUCCGCCACACUGGAACUGAGACACGGUCCAGACUCCUACGGGAGGCAGCAGUGGGGAAUUUUGGACAAUGGGGGCAACCCUGAUCCAGCCAUGCCGCGUGAGUGAAGAAGGCCUUCGGGUUGUAAAGCUCUUUCAGCCGGGAAGAAAACGCAUGGGUUAAUACCCUGUGUGGAUGACGGUACCGGAAUAAGAAGCACCGGCUAACUACGUGCCAGCAGCCGCGGUAAUACGUAGGGUGCGAGCGUUAAUCGGAAUUACUGGGCGUAAAGCGUGCGCAGGCGGUUUUGUAAGACAGGCGUGAAAUCCCCGGGCUUAACCUGGGAACUGCGUUUGAAACUACAAAGCUAG